AGAUUAGUCAACAUUGUACAACGAAUCAAAGCCACUGCUGUUAUUGUACCAGCUCAUUACAGCUGUCCAGGCACAGUGUCAGGGAGAAGGAUCAUGGGCAACUAAUUAAUUAUACAUAAGACUACUUAAUGUAUGAGAUCAGAGUAUAAUUGUAGGUCUUUUUUUAAAAAAAAAUGCCAAGAGGACCACAUGGUAUGGCAAGUGGCAAAACGUAGAAAGAUCACCGAUCUUAUUACAUGUUAUCCUGUUCUCAUACAAUCCUGAGAAUGAUCACCGAUCUUUUGUCGGUGGUAAGAAAAUUCAUCCUCUUCACGUGCUGUCCAGUGGCACUAGCAUCACUCCUUGAUCAAUAGGAUCAUGCAUGUACUUAGCUUCAAAACAGUCGAGCAUUGCUCUAGUAAGCUGGACAGGAACCCAUUUGUGUACCAUCUCAUUACAAAACUGUCCGUGAACAUCUCAAGAACUACAGAAUUAUCCCCUGAGAACUCAAGUAUACUGUUGUAGUUAUUACUAGUUAGUUAGAGCAGCUUGGUUAAGUAGCUAUCAACCUCAGUCAACAAAGAACUGAAUCAGGGGGGAGAUUGUAAAAAACACAAAUA
RNAcentral lists this long non-coding RNA (599 nucleotides) under Populus trichocarpa (black cottonwood). RNAcentral describes it as "long non-coding RNA (PTRI_LNC004143)". The record is from RNAcentral. Lineage: Eukaryota; Viridiplantae; Streptophyta; Magnoliopsida; Malpighiales; Salicaceae.